This 1104-nucleotide long non-coding RNA is filed under the name Astyanax mexicanus (Mexican tetra). RNAcentral describes it as "lncRNA (ENSAMXG00005022719.1)". Lineage: Eukaryota; Metazoa; Chordata; Actinopteri; Characiformes; Acestrorhamphidae. The record is from RNAcentral.
CUACUAGUAACUAGUAAAAAAAAAAGCCAUUAUAGACAUCUGUCACUUGAGUUCACAAGGAAAAUGUAAUUAAAUAUAAGAAAAUGUUUGAUUAAAUGUUUAUCAAUGGUAACAUAUAAGCCCUAUCCAGACCGGAUUAGCUUCUCAGGGGGGCGUCUUUCAUCCAGACAUUGAAAAAACUCGGUCACAUGACAUCGUAUUCAGUACCUCCUCCAUUUCCACUUGCUGUUGUGUUUACGUGGAUCUUCAUGGAAACGCGUGCCCAAAGUGUAAUUACUGUGCGUGGCACUGGACAAAUAGCUAUUUUAUUAAAAGCGAGGUGACGAAAUUCAGAGAUAUGCUUCAGGACAGAACUAAAAUUACCGAAGGACCACGAAGUUCCGUGAAAAACAGUAGGUAAUUCAGCCUGUGCUUUUCUCAGAGGACGUCCUGUCAUACAUGACAUUAUUUAUGGCUAUUAAAAAAAUAGCAAUGGUUUAAGAGGAUAAUUUAUCAUACAGUUGAGCAGUAGAACCAACCAGAAACAAUCUUUAUUUAACAUUUUGCAUAUUACCUGUACUAACACAUACAUUGAUCAUGUUGUGUCACCAGUUAUUAACACCCUAACUCUUGACAGCAGUGCUUCAGCCAGUAUGUUUUUCUUUUGAAUAUUUUGUUAAGUAUCAGAAAUCUGUUCCCUCUGAUCCCACCUCAUUGCCCAUUCCCUAGUCCUCUUUCCACACCAUGGGUUGUCAGGUAUGAAACACAAGAGCAGACAAGUGCAGCAUGCUGCACCUUCUUCCUGCUUUUAACACACUCCAUAACCAAAAAGAUUUUAACAGUCUCGCCGGUUUCGCCUUGGGGACUAGACAGAGCGAAAAGCAAGUGGACGGAGUGCAGGGUUUCCCUUCUGCGCUGUCCUGAGUUAUGUGGCAUGUGCCUAUAGAGCUGACACACUUCCAUUAACAAAGUCAACCAAGAACGGCUAGGUGAGGACACACAAAUAACCAGGAAGACAAUUUCAGGUAAUGAAAACUUUUAUUUGAAAUGUGAAUACGGUGAUUAGAUAUUUUUAGAGUAAAAAUUUUUUUAAAGAGUUAUAUAUCACACAAUAUAAAGGUUUCU